AUUUUGACUGUGCAAAGGUAGCAUAAUCAUUAGUCUUUUAAUUGAGGACUGGUAUGAAUGGUUUAACGAAGUAUUAACUGUCUCAUUUUAAUAAAUUGAACUUAACUUUUGAGUUAAAAGGCUUAAAUGAAGUUAGAGGACGAGAAGACCCUAUAGAGCUUUAUAAAUUAGAUAUUAAAUUGGAUUUGGGUGUUUUGUUUAAUUUAAGUAAAAAAUUUAUUUUAUUGGGGUGAUAUGAAGAUUUAAUUAACUCUUUAUAAUGGGUAAACACUAAUGAGUGAAUAAUUGAUCCAUUUUUAGUGAUUAUAAGAUUAAGUUACCUUAGGGAUAACAGCGUAAUGUUUUUUGAGUUCUUAUCGACAAGAAAGAUUGCGACCUCGAUGUUGGAUUAAGGAAAAAGUUGGG
This 405-nucleotide ribosomal RNA is filed under the name Troglophilus andreinii hydruntinus. Its description in RNAcentral is "partial 16S ribosomal RNA". It matches the Rfam family "Bacterial large subunit ribosomal RNA", at positions 1939 to 2551 of the family's 2925-position model. Lineage: Eukaryota; Metazoa; Arthropoda; Insecta; Orthoptera; Rhaphidophoridae. The record is from RNAcentral.